Populus nigra (black poplar) is the source of this 639-nucleotide long non-coding RNA. RefSeq lists it as uncharacterized. Lineage: Eukaryota; Viridiplantae; Streptophyta; Magnoliopsida; Malpighiales; Salicaceae. The transcript is spliced from 2 exons. The record is from RefSeq and is a predicted model, not a curated record.
ACCAAACGAAAACAGAGGAGAUAGAACAGAGAAAAACAUAGAGAAAACCAGGGGGGAGAACACAGAGACGAAGGAGAAGAAGAGGAUAGACACGAAACGAACAAAAGGGAGAACCAGAAACGAAACAAGAACAACGAACACAAAAAUAAAAAAAAAACCAGAGAAACCAGAGAGAAGGACGACCUGAGAGAAACGAAAACAGGAGCAGAGGGGGAAUAAAGUAGCUUUGGUCAGCCAGCACACCGUCGCCAUCGUCUUCGUCCCCAAGCAGCUCCAGGUACGCAAGUUCUACAAUUCCCUCCCAUUUGCAUUUUAAUUAAAUAGGCACUGUGCAUCUUCAAUUAUAAUUAACUCAUUCCUGUAGCAAGCGUGCGUGAACAUUUCACAGGUGUAAGAAUGACAAGCGGUACAGGGGUAGAAGCUGAGCAAUACCUUGAAUUUAGUCUUCAAGGCUGCAAGAGGGAUGAAUAUGAGGAGUCGGUUGGGGUGUGAAUUUCCUUGGAAAAGGAGUCGUAGUUUUCAGAAUAAUGAGAAAGGCAUUGGAGAAAACUUUUAUGAUCAGUGUGAGCUGCAUUUGUAAAUGGGAUUGAAAAAAGAAAGAAAAAUAUUAGAACCGAUAGUAUCAUUGAAGAAAUGCUA